ACCCCCUGACUGUGGGCAAAGAGACACAUUGGUGGUGGUGGUGUUCUGUAUCAGUCAGGGGCAGAGCAGAUAGUAGCCCUUUGUUUAUCCUAGCUUGAUGCCUGGCUUGGUGGCCAAAGCUGUUUCAUGCCUAGGGCACAUUA
Cricetulus griseus (Chinese hamster) is the source of this 143-nucleotide small nucleolar RNA. Ensembl annotates it as small nucleolar RNA SNORA48. The record is from Ensembl. NCBI's taxonomy places the organism in Eukaryota, Metazoa, Chordata, Mammalia, Rodentia, Cricetidae.